RNAcentral lists this ribosomal RNA (484 nucleotides) under uncultured bacterium. RNAcentral describes it as "partial 16S ribosomal RNA". It matches the Rfam family "Bacterial small subunit ribosomal RNA", at positions 30 to 507 of the family's 1533-position model. The record is from RNAcentral.
AUUGAACGCUGGCGGCAGGCCUAACACAUGCAAGUCGAGCGGAAGCAGGGAGCUUGCUUCUGGUUUCAGCGGCGGACGGGCGGGUAAUGCAUAGGAAUAUGCCAGGCAGUGGUGGCUAACGUGCGGACGUAGGCACUCUUACCGCAUUAGCGCAGAGGGCGUACGGGGGGAAGCAUCGGACCUUCGGCCCUCGCACGAGUCUAGGUCGGAUUGGCUAGUUGGUGGGGUAAAGGCCUACCAAGGCGACGAUCCGUAACUGGUCUGAGAGGAUGAUCAGUCACACUGGAACUGAGACACGGUCCAGACUCCUACGGGAGGCAGCAGUGGGGAAUAUUGGACAAUGGGCGAAAGCCUGAUCCAGCCAUGCCGCGUGUGUGAAGAAGGUCUUCGGAUUGUAAAGCACUUUUAUUGGGGAGGAAGGGCAGUAGGUUAAUACCUUGCUGUUUUGACGGUACCAACAGAAUAAGCACCGGCUAACUUCGUG